UACGUAGGGUGCGAGCGUUAAUCGGAAUUACUGGGCGUAAAGGGCUCGCAGGCGGCCACGCACGUCCGUUGUGAAAUCGCUCGGCUCAACUGGGCGGGGUCAGCGGAUACGGCGUGGCUGGAGCAAGCUAGGGGGCAAUGGAAUUCCCGGUGUAGUGGUGGAAUGCGUAGAUAUCGGGAGGAACACCAGUGGCGAAGGCGGUUGCCUGGAGCUUUGCUGACGCUGAGGCGCGAAAGCGUGGGGAGCGAUCCGG
RNAcentral lists this ribosomal RNA (253 nucleotides) under uncultured bacterium. Its description in RNAcentral is "partial 16S ribosomal RNA". It matches the Rfam family "Bacterial small subunit ribosomal RNA", at positions 524 to 776 of the family's 1533-position model. The record is from RNAcentral.